RNAcentral lists this ribosomal RNA (630 nucleotides) under uncultured bacterium. RNAcentral describes it as "bacterial SSU rRNA". It matches the Rfam family "Bacterial small subunit ribosomal RNA", at positions 245 to 885 of the family's 1533-position model. The record is from RNAcentral.
CUUGUUGGUGAGGUAAUGGCUCACCAAGGCGACGACGGGUAGCCGGCCUGAGAGGGCGACCGGCCACACUGGGACUGAGACACGGCCCAGACUCCUACGGGAGGCAGCAGUGGGGAAUAUUGCACAAUGGGCGAAAGCCUGAUGCAGCGACGCCGCGUGAGGGAUGACGGCCUUCGGGUUGUAAACCUCUUUCAGCAGGGAAGAAGCGAAAGUGACGGUACCUGCAGAAGAAGCGCCGGCUAACUACGUGCCAGCAGCCGCGGUAAUACGUAGGGCGCAAGCGUUGUUCGGAAUUAUUGGGCGUAAAGAGCUCGUAGGCGGUCUGUCGCGUCGGAUGUGAAAGCCCGGGGCUUAACCCCGGGUCUGCAUUCGAUACGGGCAGACUAGAGUGUGGUAGGGGAGAUCGGAAUUCCUGGUGUAGCGGUGAAAUGCGCAGAUAUCAGGAGGAACACCGGUGGCGAAGGCGGAUCUCUGGGCCAUUACUGACGCUGAGGAGCGAAAGCGUGGGGAGCGAACAGGAUUAGAUACCCUGGUAGUCCACGCCGUAAACGGUGGGAACUAGGUGUUGGCGACAUUCCACGUCGUCGGUGCCGCAGCUAACGCAUUAAGUUCCCCGCCUGGGGAGUACGG